This 226-nucleotide ribosomal RNA is filed under the name uncultured bacterium. Its description in RNAcentral is "partial 16S ribosomal RNA". It matches the Rfam family "Bacterial small subunit ribosomal RNA", at positions 943 to 1167 of the family's 1533-position model. The record is from RNAcentral.
GGGUUUAAUUCGAUGAUACGCGAGGGAACCUUACCCGGGCUUGAAUUGCAGAGGAAGGAUUUGGAGACAAUGACGCCCUUCGGGGUCUCUGUGAAGGUGCUGCAUGGUUGUCGUCAGCUCGUGCCGUGAGGUGUCGGCUUAAGUGCCAUAACGAGCGCAACCCCUCUCCUUAGUUGCCAUCAGGUCAAGCUGGGCACUCUGGGGACACUGCCACCGUAAGGUGUGA